AUGCUGGAGCAGAUGGUGGUUGUGGUGGGCAUAGAGUGUUUCUCCCCGGGGGAUGAUAAUGUGAGGGUGAAGCUGAAGCCUCUAACCAGCGCAAAAUGGAACAGCAAAGCUUGCAGACUAGAGCUCUUCAGGAGCCCGGUCACUGACGGUUCAGGUCCUGCUUACAACCACGAACUAGCUUCUGAUUUUGAGUUUGCUGACCCUUUUGACCUCAAGUACUACAAAAAAGCAGGAAGGAUCUCUGUAAGUUAA
RNAcentral lists this ribosomal RNA (252 nucleotides) under Triticum aestivum (bread wheat). Its description in RNAcentral is "partial small subunit ribosomal RNA". Lineage: Eukaryota; Viridiplantae; Streptophyta; Magnoliopsida; Poales; Poaceae. The record is from RNAcentral.